GCCCAGAUAGCUCAGUUGGUAGAGCAGGGGACUGAAAAUCCCCGUGUCGGCGGUUCAACUCCGUCUCUGGGCA
RNAcentral lists this transfer RNA (73 nucleotides) under Pseudomonadota bacterium. RNAcentral's name for it is "Proteobacteria bacterium tRNA-Phe". It matches the Rfam family "tRNA". Rfam says of the family: Transfer RNA (tRNA) molecules are approximately 80 nucleotides in length. Their secondary structure includes four short double-helical elements and three loops (D, anti-codon, and T loops). RNAcentral also lists the same sequence under 3 other names. The record is from RNAcentral. Lineage: Bacteria; Pseudomonadati; Pseudomonadota.